CUCAAAGCACAAAGGUAAAGAAUUUCCUGCCUAGUAUUGAAUUAAAACAACUAACUAUACCUUACUACUUGACUAAUCAAUAGGUUGAGUCAAAGGUUCAACUGUUCCAACUAUCAUAUGUAUUUACUGAUAAGGAAAAUAGCAUCAAAUUUGACCUUUUUUCAAAAAAACUAAUCGACAGCAGAGAAAACCUCUGUUUUCCCAUACUUUUUAUCGCCUGAUUCACAAAACCAAUAUACGAAAAAAGAU
Molecule: long non-coding RNA, 249 nt
Filed under: Ananas comosus (pineapple)
Lineage: Eukaryota; Viridiplantae; Streptophyta; Magnoliopsida; Poales; Bromeliaceae
Description: long non-coding RNA (ACOM_LNC003728)
Source: RNAcentral